RNAcentral lists this ribosomal RNA (840 nucleotides) under uncultured Bacteriovorax sp. RNAcentral describes it as "bacterial SSU rRNA". It matches the Rfam family "Bacterial small subunit ribosomal RNA", at positions 43 to 864 of the family's 1533-position model. The record is from RNAcentral. Lineage: Bacteria; Pseudomonadati; Bdellovibrionota; Bacteriovoracia; Bacteriovoracales; Bacteriovoracaceae.
CGUGCCUAACACAUGCAAGUCGAACGUGAAAGUCCUUCGGGAUGAGUAAAGUGGCGCACGGGUGAGUAACACGUAGGUGACCUGCCUUUUAGAGGGGAAUAACCAGAAGAAAUUUUGGCUAAUGCCGCAUACGAAGCACGGUUUUAAGACUGUGCUUGAAAGAAUGCCUCUGCAUAUGCAUUCGCUAUUAGAUGGGCCUGCGGGACAUUAGCUAGUUGGUGGGGUAAAGGCCUACCAAGGCGACGAUGUCUAUCCGGUCUGAGAGGAUGAUCGGACACACUGGAACUGAGACACGGUCCAGACUCCUACGGGAGGCAGCAGUGGGGAAUAUUGCGCAAUGGGGGAAACCCUGACGCAGCAACGCCGCGUGAGUGAGGAAGGACUUCGGUCUGUAAAGCUCUGUUAAUGUGGAAAAAUGGCAGUUGGUCUAAUAGGCCGAUUGUUUGAUGGUACACAUAGAGGAAGCACCGGCUAACUUCGUGCCAGCAGCCGCGGUAAUACGAAGGGUGCAAGCGUUGUUCGGAUUUAUUGGGCGUAAAGCGCGCGUAGGCGGACCUGCAAGUCAGAUGUGAAAUCUCGGGGCUCAACCUCGAAACUGCGUCUGAAACUACAGGUCUAGAAUCUCGGAGGGGGAAGGGGAAUAUCGCAUGUAGGGGUAAAAUCCGUAGAUAUGCGAUGGAACACCAGAGGCGAAGGCGCCUUCCUGGACGAGUAUUGACGCUGAGGCGCGAAAGCGUGGGGAUCAAACAGGAUUAGAUACCCUGGUAGUCCACGCUGUAAACGAUGAACACUAGAUAUUGGAGGAUUUGACCCCUUCAGUGUCGUAGCUAACGCGUUAAG